CUGUCCGUCAUGAAGACUGAACCCUCAGCCAUGGCCUUCAUCUCCGUACUCACCUGGACUCUUCUAGUUUGCCUCCAAGAAUGCAGAGGUCAGUUCACUGUGACUCAGACUCCUGCUACAUCAGCUGCUGGUCCAGGAGGGUCAGUUACUCUGAACUGCAAAACCAGCAGUGGAAUCGGCCACAGAACAUAUGCUGCAUGUGAGAGCUGCCUGUCCUGGUACCUGCAGAAGCCUGGAGAAGCUCCUAAACUCCUGAUUCACAGUAUUAGCACCCGUUACACAGGCACUGCAAACAGAUUCAGUGGAGGUGGAUCAAACUAUGGCUCUGACUUCACUCUGACCAUCAGUGGAGUCCAGGCUGAGGAUGCUGGACAUUACUACUGCAUGGGGGUGAUGUACAGUGGAACUACGCCAGUGUGGACUUUUGGAAGCGGCUCUAAACUUGAUGUUGGAGUUCCGACCCCUCCGGUGCUGACGGUGCUGCCCCCCUCCCGUGAGGAGGUGUCGGGGGGGCGCAGUGGCACGCUGGUGUGUGUGGCCAGGGGGGGCUUCCCGUCCGACUGGAGGCUGAGCUGGCAGCUGGAUGGGGGGGUUGAGGGCGGGGAGGGCAGUGCUGGGCUCCUGGGGAAGGACGGCCUGUACAGCUGGAGCAGCAGCCUGACUCUCAGCGCCCCCCGCUGGUCAAAGAUCAGCACUGUGCACUGUGAGGCCACACACAGCACCCAGGGGACCGUCACCAGCACCCUCACCAGAGACCAGUGCUCCAACUAGACCCUACACACACACACACGCACACACACACACACACACACACACACACUGUCUGGUAUUGUGUGCUGGUAGUUCAAUGUGCUCAUGUGUUUUCACUUAUUCAUGCUGCAAACAACAAUAAAUAAUGUUCUAAGGGUGAUAA
Molecule: non-coding RNA, 913 nt
Organism: Alosa sapidissima (American shad)
Lineage: Eukaryota; Metazoa; Chordata; Actinopteri; Clupeiformes; Clupeidae
Source: the annotation of a RefSeq genome assembly